This 497-nucleotide ribosomal RNA is filed under the name uncultured bacterium. RNAcentral's name for it is "partial 16S ribosomal RNA". It matches the Rfam family "Bacterial small subunit ribosomal RNA", at positions 28 to 507 of the family's 1533-position model. The record is from RNAcentral.
GACGAACGCUGGCGGCGUGCCUAAUACAUGCAAGUUGAGCGCUGAAGGUUGGUACUUGUACCGACUGGAUGAGCAGCGAACGGGUGAGUAACGCGUGGGGAAUCUGCCUUUGAGCGGGGGACAACAUUUGGAAACGAAUGCUAAUACCGCAUAAAAACUUUAAACACAAGUUUUAAGUUUGAAAGAUGCAAUUGCAUCACUCAAAGAUGAUCCCGCGUUGUAUUAGCUAGUUGGUGAGGUAAAGGCUCACCAAGGCGAUGAUACAUAGCCGACCUGAGAGGGUGAUCGGCCACAUUGGGACUGAGACACGGCCCAAACUCCUACGGGAGGCAGCAGUAGGGAAUCUUCGGCAAUGGACGAAAGUCUGACCGAGCAACGCCGCGUGAGUGAAGAAGGUUCUCGGAUCGUAAAACUCUGUUGGUAGAGAAGAACGUUGGUGAGAGUGGAAAGCUCAUCAAGUGACGGUAACUACACAGAAAGGGACGGCUAACUACGUG